Molecule: ribosomal RNA, 319 nt
Filed under: uncultured eukaryote
Lineage: Eukaryota
Description: partial 18S ribosomal RNA
Rfam family: Eukaryotic small subunit ribosomal RNA
Source: RNAcentral
CCCUUAGAUGUUCUGGGCAGCACGCGCGCUACAAUGGUCUUCGCAAACGGAUGCAUUCUCGAAGGAGAAUGCCAAUCUUGGAAUCUAUGCCUUGGUCGGGACAGUUGCUUGCAAUUUUUCGACUCGAACCAGGAAUUCCUUGUAAUCGUGAUUCAUCACAUCACGAUGAAUACGUCCCUCCCCUUUGUACACACCGCCCGUCGCUCCUACCGAUCGAAGAGUUAGGUGAAUUGUUUUGAUCGAUAAGAUUUGACUAUGGUCAACUCUCGUUGUGAAAUUCUGUGAAUCUGACUGUUUAGAGGAAGGAAAAGUCGUAACA